AGGAUCAGUGUGUUCAGAUCAUGGAUGGAAAGAUUUUAAGGCAAAAAAGACACCCAGAAAUGAUUUUCCACACAAGGCAUCUGGUCCCAAUCAUCAUCACUUCUGAUGAUGUCACAUACACAGCGAGU
Molecule: long non-coding RNA, 128 nt
Organism: Poecilia latipinna (sailfin molly)
Lineage: Eukaryota; Metazoa; Chordata; Actinopteri; Cyprinodontiformes; Poeciliidae
Exons: 2
Source: RefSeq, a predicted model, not a curated record